Erpetoichthys calabaricus (reedfish) is the source of this 795-nucleotide long non-coding RNA. RefSeq lists it as uncharacterized. The record is from RefSeq and is a predicted model, not a curated record. Lineage: Eukaryota; Metazoa; Chordata; Cladistia; Polypteriformes; Polypteridae. The transcript is spliced from 2 exons.
UCACCAUUAAUUUCAUAAAGUUCAGUUUCAAAACUUGAGUAUAGCUCCACAUCUAGAAUUUUACAAAUAAAACCAUUUUUAAAAAUAGUAGCAAGACCUCCUCCUCAGCCAGUAAUCCUGGGUGAAUUUAAGAAAUUACAACUUGGGGGUACCAUCUCACUAAAUGCACUAAGGUCGGCUCCAUGAAUCCAGGUUUCCGCAAUGAACACAAAUUUUAUUUAUCACAGACCUGGUGUUGAUCAAUGCCAUCCUAUAGGGGGGUUAUUCUUCCACCAGUAAAGUAUGCCGAUCCAGCUGGCGAAGAUUAGAAAAGUUUACCCUGGUGAGAAAGCCGGCACGCAAUGCUGUCGCCAAGUUAACCCAGGAAAUCAAACAGGAGCUGCGGAUGUUGACCAGUCGAGUCCCAGCCGGACAGGAGAAUAAUCCGGAUCAAAAACCAGCCUCAGGUUUCGAGGUUGAAGUUGACAAUCAUAUUCACAAUCUACCCAUGAUAAGCAGGUCAACGAUUGAACAGUCACAAGCCUUCGAGACUUGACUAAAACUCCAGCCCGGGAGCCCCUUCUACACCUCUACUUGUGACGGCGGCAAAAAGUCAUCAUCUCAGCCAGAGCAAGCAUGUCAACCAAACCUCUUACUGUAUUACUUGACGCCACUGGAGGUGGACAAUAAACACAACAUGGUCUUGCCAAAUUAAAUUCCAGGACAGCAGAUCAAAUGUCUAGAAGUAUCUGCCGAUCAUAGGUCAACACGGAAAAAAUAAAAUGAAAUUGAAAAAAAACACAAUAAUAAACACAA